RNAcentral lists this ribosomal RNA (496 nucleotides) under uncultured bacterium. RNAcentral describes it as "partial 16S ribosomal RNA". It matches the Rfam family "Bacterial small subunit ribosomal RNA", at positions 28 to 523 of the family's 1533-position model. The record is from RNAcentral.
GAUGAACGCUGGCGGCGUGCUAACACAUGCAAGUCGAACGAAGCACCUUAGACAGAAGCCUUCGGGCGGAAGACUUUGGUGACUUAGUGGCGGACGGGUGAGUAACGCGUGGGUAACCUGCCCUGUACCGGGGGACAACAGUUGGGAACGACUGCUAAUACCGCAUAAGCGCACAGCAUCGCAUGAUGCAGUGUGAAAAACUCCGGUGGUACAGGAUGGACCCGCGUCUGAUUAGCUAGUUGGUGAGGUAACGGCUUACCAAGGCAACGAUCAGUAGCCGACUUGAGAGAGUGAUCGGCCACAUUGGGACUGAGACACGGCCCAAACUCCUACGGGAGGCAGCAGUGGGGAAUAUUGCACAAUGGGGGAAACCCUGAUGCAGCGACGCCGCGUGAAGGAAGAAGUAUUUCGGUAUGUAAACUUCUAUCAGCAAGGAAGAAAAUGACGGUACUUGACUAAGAAGCCCCGGCUAAAUACGUGCCAGCCGCCGCCGUAA